Molecule: microRNA precursor, 165 nt
Filed under: Oryza brachyantha (malo sina)
Lineage: Eukaryota; Viridiplantae; Streptophyta; Magnoliopsida; Poales; Poaceae
Description: MIR812 microRNA precursor family
Rfam family: MIR812 microRNA precursor family
Source: Rfam by way of RNAcentral
UGCAAUGUUUUGACUCUUCGUCUUAUUUAAAAUUUUUUUGCGAUUAAAUUUUUAUUGUUACUAGAUGAUAAAAUAUUAAUAGUAAAUUAUGUGUGACUAUUUUUUUUAAGUUUUUAACGAAUUUUUCAAAUAAGACGAAUGAUCAAACGUUAGACACGGAAAAAC